AGUGAACGCUGGCGGUAGGCCUAACACAUGCAAGUCGAACGGCAGCACAGUAAGAGCUUGCUCUUACGGGUGGCGAGUGGCGGACGGGUGAGGAAUACAUCGGCAUCUACUUUUUCGUGGGGGAUAACGUAGGGAAACUUACGCUAAUACCGCAUACGACCUACGGGUGAAAGCAGCGGAUCUUCGGACCUUGCGCGAUUGAAUGAGCCGAUGUCGGAUUAGCUAGUUGGCGGGGUAAAGGCCCACCAAGGCGACGAUCCGUAGCUGGUCUGAGAGGAUGAUCAGCCACACUGGAACUGAGACACGGUCCAGACUCCUACGGGAGGCAGCAGUGGGGAAUAUUGGACAAUGGGCGCAAGCCUGAUCCAGCCAUACCGCGUGGGUGAAGAAGGCCUUCGGGUUGUAAAGCCCUUUUGUUGGGAAAGAAAAGCAGCAGGUUAAUACCCCGCUGUUCUGACGGUACCCAAAGAAUAAGCACCGGCUAACUUCGUG
Molecule: ribosomal RNA, 492 nt
Filed under: uncultured bacterium
Lineage: Bacteria
Description: partial 16S ribosomal RNA
Rfam family: Bacterial small subunit ribosomal RNA
Source: RNAcentral